Molecule: long non-coding RNA, 499 nt
Organism: Hippocampus comes (tiger tail seahorse)
Lineage: Eukaryota; Metazoa; Chordata; Actinopteri; Syngnathiformes; Syngnathidae
Exons: 2
Source: RefSeq, a predicted model, not a curated record
UGCCAUAUGAUGUUUCUCCGCACGUACAGGACUAAAAAAGUGGGUGGAAGUGGGGAACUCUGGUGUCUUCAGACCAGAGAUGCUGCUGCCGAUGGGUCUCCCUGAAGACGUGUCCGUUAUUGCUUGGGGGCUGUCUCUGGAAAGACCCACCAUGAUUAAAUACGGCAUAAACAACAUCAGAGAGCUGGUGGGACACAAGGUCAAUCUGCAGAUGGUUUACGACAGCCCCAUUUGUCGACUGGACUCCUGAGUUUGGUACAGACCUCUUUUAGAUUUUGGACCCACUCUGUCACUGUUGCCAUAACGAAAUACAAUUGUAUUUUGAUGGCAUUUUAAAAUCAGGUGACAGGCUUUUGUGUAUACACGAGAAUGCAAAACGGUAGUCUCGGAACCGACGCCAUCCUGUGUUGCGAGACUAAACUCAACUGUGCAGGUUCCUUUUGAAUAAUAAACAUUUUCCAAACUGUCAAACUCCCGACAGUUUCGAGUGACGAUACGU